UAGCCAUGUUAUGGACAUGAAUUUAUGAGAUCCUUAAAUCGCUCCUAACAUUGGAAGAAGGUCUUAUCCUCUUUUUGCCCAAAAUUCAUGAUUUCUUUCCUUAGAGCCU
Small nucleolar RNA from Magnolia sinica, 109 nucleotides. The record is from RefSeq and is a predicted model, not a curated record. Lineage: Eukaryota; Viridiplantae; Streptophyta; Magnoliopsida; Magnoliales; Magnoliaceae.